GAAUGGCUCAUUAAAUCAGUUAUGGUUCCUUAGAUCGUAAAAAUCCACUUGGAUAACUGUGGUAAUUCUAGAGCUAAUACAUGCAUCAAAACACUGACAUUAUUGUAAGUGUGCUUUUAUUAGAACAAAAUCAAUAUGAAUUUAUUCCUUUUUUUGGUGACUCUGGAUAACUUUGGGCUGAUUGCAUGGCCUUGUGCCGGCAACGUAUCUUUCAAAUGUCUGCCCUAUCAACUUUCGAAGGUAGAUGAUAUGCCUACCUUGGUUGUAACGGGUAACGGGGAAUUAGGGUUCCAUUCCGGAGAGGGCGCAUGAGAAACGGCGACCACAUCCAAGGAAGGCAGCAGGCGCGCAAAUUACCCACUCCUGGAAUGGGGAGGUAGUGACGAAAAAUAACAAUAUGAAUCUCAUUUGAGGCUUCAUAAUUGGAAUGAGUACACUUUAAAUCCUUUAACGAGGAUCAAUUGGAGGGCAAGUCUGGUGCCAGCAGCCGCGGUAAUUCCAGCUCCAAUAGCGUAUAUUAAAGUUGUUGCAGUUAAAAAGCUCGUAGUUGGAUUUCUAGUCUUGACUUGCAGUUCGCCUAGCGGUGUUAACUGUUUGUUUGGACUUACCUCCCGGUUUUCUCUUGUUUCUCUUCAUUGAGUGGCUUGAGUGACUGGAACAUUUACUUUGAAAAAAUUAGAGUGUUUAAAGCAGGCAGUUUGCUUGAAUAUCUGUGCAUGGAAUAAUAGAAUAGGACCUCAGUUCUAUUUUGUUGGUUUUCGGAAUUUGAGGUAAUGAUUAGGAGGGACAGAUGGGGGCAUUCGUAUUACGGUGUUAGAGGUGAAAUUCUUGGAUCGGCGUAAGACGAACUACUGCGAAAGCAUUUGCCAAGAAUGUUUUCAUUGAUCAAGAGCGAAAGUCAGAGGAUCGAAGACGAUCAGAUACCGUCCUAGUUCUGACCAUAAACGAUGCCGACUAGCGAUCCGGCUCCGUUGCUUUAUUGACUGGCCGGGCAGCUCCCGGGAAACCAAAGUCUAUGGGUUCCGGGGGAAGUAUGGUUGCAAAGCUGAAACUUAAAGGAAUUGACGGAAGGGCACCACCAGGAGUGGAGCCUGCGGCUUAAUUUGACUCAACACGGGAAAACUCACCCGGCCCGGACACUGUAAGGAUUGACAGAUUGAAAGCUCUUUCUUGAUUCGGUGGGUGGUGGUGCAUGGCCGUUCUUAGUUGGUGGAGUGAUUUGUCUGGUUAAUUCCGAUAACGAACGAGACUCUAGCCUGUUAAAUAGUUUGCUGAUUUCUUGUCAGAGAAAACUUCUUAGAGGGACAAGUGGUGCUCAGCCACACGAGAUUGAGCAAUAACAGGUCUGUGAUGCCCUUAGAUGUUCGGGGCCGCACGCGUGCUACACUGAAGGAUGCAAUGAGUGUUGCCCUUGUCUGAACAGAUUGGGUAAUCUGUUGAACCUCCUUCGUGCUUGGGAUUGGGGUUUGCAAUUAUCCCCCAUGAACGAGGAAUUCCUAGUAAGCGCAAGUCAUAAGCUUGUGUUGAUUACGUCCCUGCCCUUUGUACACACCGCCCGUCGCUACUACCGACUGAUCGGAUCAGUGAAAUAAAUGGAUUGCUAUCAUCAUGGUGGUUUCCACUAUGUUGUAUGGGGAGAAGUUUAUUGAACUAAUACGAUUGGAGGAAG
RNAcentral lists this ribosomal RNA (1669 nucleotides) under Tomopteris septentrionalis. RNAcentral's name for it is "SSU rRNA". It matches the Rfam family "Eukaryotic small subunit ribosomal RNA". The record is from RNAcentral. Lineage: Eukaryota; Metazoa; Annelida; Polychaeta; Phyllodocida; Tomopteridae.